AUUAUUUCUUUCCCUGAUUGAACC
RNAcentral lists this non-coding RNA (24 nucleotides) under Cricetulus griseus (Chinese hamster). Lineage: Eukaryota; Metazoa; Chordata; Mammalia; Rodentia; Cricetidae. The record is from RNAcentral.